GGCGGACGGGUGAGUAACGCGUGAACAAUCUGCCCUGUACAAAGGAAUAGCCUCGGGAAACCGGGAUUAAAACCGUAUGACACUUUAAUACCGCAUGGUAUAGAAGUCAAAUAUUAAUAGGUAUGGGAUGAGUUCGCGUCUGAUUAGCUGGUUGGUAAGGUAACGGCUUACCAAGGCGACGAUCAGUAGCCGGCCUGAGAGGGUGAACGGCCACACUGGAACUGAGACACGGUCCAGACUCCUACGGGAGGCAGCAGUGGGGAAUAUUGCACAAUGGAGGGAACUCUGAUGCAGCGACGCCGCGUGAGUGAAGAAGGUCUUCGGAUCGUAAAACUCUGUCCUUGGUGAAGAAAAGGACGGUAGCCAAGGAGGAAGCCCCGGCUAACUACGUGCCAGCAGCCGCGGUAAUACGUAGGGGGCGAGCGUUGUCCGGAUUUACUGGGCGUAAAGGGUGAGUAGGCGGUUAUAUAUGUCAGGUGUAAAAGGCUAUGGCUUAACCAUGGUUAGCACUUGAAACUGUAUGACUUGAGUGCAGGAGAGGUAAGCGGAAUUCCUAGUGUAGCGGUGAAAUGCGUAGAUAUUAGGAGGAACACCAGUGGCGAAGGCGGCUUACUGGACUGUAACUGACGCUGAGUCACGAAAGCGUGGGUAGCAAACAGGAUUAGAUACCCUGGUAGUCCACGCUGUAAACGAUGAGUGCUAGGUGUUGGGUAGCGAUACUCAGUGCCGGAGUCAACACAAUAAGCACUCCGCCUGGGGAGUACGUACGCAAGUAUGAAACUCAAAGGAAUUGACGGGGACCCGCACAAGCAGCGGAGCAUGUGGUUUAAUUCGAAGCAACGCGAAGAACCUUACCAAGGCUUGACAUCCCCUUGACAGGUACAGAGAUGUACAAUCAUUUUCGAAUGCAAGGGAGACAGGUGGUGCAUGGUUGUCGUCAGCUCGUGUCGUGAGAUGUUGGGUUAAGUCCCGCAACGAGCGCAACCCUUAUCCUUAGUUGCCAUCAAGUAAAGUUGGGCACUCUAAGGAGACUGCCGGUGAUAAACCGGAGGAAGGUGGGGAUGACGUCAAAUCAUCAUGCCCCUUAUGUCUUGGGCUACACACGUGCUACAAUGGUCGGUACAACGGGAAGCGAAGAAGUGAUUUGGAGCAAAUCCCAAUAAACCGAUCCCAGUUCGGAUUGCAGGCUGCAACUCGCCUGCAUGAAGUCGGAGUUGCUAGUAAUCGCGAAUCAGAACGUCGCGGUGAAUGCGUUCCCGGGUCU
This 1264-nucleotide ribosomal RNA is filed under the name uncultured Sedimentibacter sp. Its description in RNAcentral is "bacterial SSU rRNA". It matches the Rfam family "Bacterial small subunit ribosomal RNA", at positions 97 to 1381 of the family's 1533-position model. Lineage: Bacteria; Bacillati; Bacillota; Tissierellia. The record is from RNAcentral.